Long non-coding RNA from Peromyscus eremicus (cactus mouse), 581 nucleotides. RefSeq lists it as uncharacterized. Lineage: Eukaryota; Metazoa; Chordata; Mammalia; Rodentia; Cricetidae. The transcript has 2 exons. The record is from RefSeq and is a predicted model, not a curated record.
AUCACUCUGUUUUUCAUCUGUCAAUACUCACUUCAUUGGGGAUUCACAAGACUUAACUGGCACGAGACAAUCUUCAGAGUUACAGUCAUUGGCUUGCCAUUUAAAAUUCUGUUCUGAGAAAUUUGAAUCCUAAAUUUGUCUUUCUAGGGUUGGCCAACCACUGUGAUUUUAGGAAGAACCUGUUUGUUUGGUGAGUGUGGUAGAGCACAGGGUUCUUGAUUGUCUUGUCGACAAAGCAUAAUAUAGAUCGGGUGCUGUUAUGGUUAGAAUGUGAAAUGUCCCCCAGGGGGUCAUGUGUUUACAUACUCAAUCAUGAGCUGCUGUAUUGUUGUGGGAAGCUGAGGAGUCUUGUGAGGUGGAGCACAGCUGGAGAAAGUGAGUCACUGUGGCAUGGACUUUCAGGCUUGUAUCUCAGUCCUGGUUCCGGGCUGACCUCUCUGCUUCCUGUUCUGCCAAGAUACAAGGAGGCAAUGACCUCUGGCUGCCCACCAGCAAGAAGCCUCCUGCUGCCAUGCCUUCCCUAUCAUUCUGGAUUGCAUCCCUCCACACUUCACCAGCUAAAUAAAUCCCUGCUCCAUUAA